GGCCNACCAUGCAAGUCGAGGGGUAACAUGAGAGCUUGCUCUUGAUGACGACCGGCGCACGGGUGAGUAACGCGUAUGCAACCUGCCUAUAACCGUGGGAUAGCACUUCGAAAGGAGUAUUAAUACCACAUAACACUGUUUAAUUGCCUGAUUAGACAUUUAAAUUUCCGGAGGUUAUAGAUGGGCAUGUGUGACAUUAGCCAGUUGGCGGGGUAACGGCCCACCAAAGCAACGAUGUCUAGGGGUUCUGAGAGGAAGGUCCCCCACACUGGUACUGAGACACGGACCAGACUCCUACGGGAGGCAGCAGUGAGGAAUAUUGGUCAAUGGACGCAAGUCUGAACCAGCCAUGUCGCGUGCUAGGAAGACUGCCCUAUGGGUUGUAAACUGCUUUUCUACGAGAAGAAAGUUAUCUAACGUGUAGAUAAUUGCCGGUAUCGUAAGAACAAGGAUCGGCUAACUCCGUGCCAGCNGCCGCGGUAAUACGGANGAUCCGAGCGUUAUCCGGGAUUUAUUGGGGUUUAAAGGGUACGUAGGCGGAAUAGAAAGUCNNGCGGUUAAAAUCCUUGGCNACUUNAACUNGNUAGAANUUGNCGUUUGANACUUGGUUAUUCUUUGAAAAGUUAUAUNGAAGGUUAGGGCGGUAAUGUGGUGNAGUANACGGUUUAANUGCCNUUAGCAUAUACCCNCCGGAANACCNUAUUGGCGNAAGGNNNGCUUUANUAAACUACAACUGGACGCUGGAGGGGNNUAAAGCGGNGGGGUAUCAAACAGGGANUAAAUACCCNGGCAGGUNNANNCC
This 802-nucleotide ribosomal RNA is filed under the name uncultured bacterium. RNAcentral describes it as "partial 16S ribosomal RNA". It matches the Rfam family "Bacterial small subunit ribosomal RNA", at positions 45 to 801 of the family's 1533-position model. The record is from RNAcentral.